UGAGGAAUAUUGGGCAAUGGGCGAAAGCCUGACCCAGCAACGCCGCGUGGAGGAUGAAUGCCGUAAGGUUGUAAACUCCUGUUAGAGGGGAAGAAUAAUCCCGAUCGACUCGGGACAUGACUGUACCCUCAGAGAAAGCUCCGGCUAACUACGUGCCAGCAGCCGCGGUAAUACGUAGGGAGCAAGCGUUGUCCGGAUUUACUGGGUGUAAAGGGCGCGCAGGCGGGUUGGCAAGUCAGAGGUGAAAUCCUACAGCUUAACUGUAGAACUGCCUUUGAUACUGCUGAUCUUGAGUAUGGAAGAGAGAGACGGAAUUCCAGGUGUAGUGGUGAAAUACGUAGAUAUCUGGAAGAACACCAGUUGCGAAGGCGGUCUCUUGGUCCAAUACUGACGCUGAGGCGCGAAAGCGUGGGUAGCAAACAGGAUUAGAUACCCUGGUAGUCCACGCUGUAAACGAUGUCUACUAGCCGUUGGGAGGCUUGACCUUUUAGUGGCGAAGCUAACGCGAUAAGUAGACCGCCUGGGGAGUACGGUCGCAAGAUUA
RNAcentral lists this ribosomal RNA (544 nucleotides) under uncultured bacterium. RNAcentral's name for it is "bacterial SSU rRNA". It matches the Rfam family "Bacterial small subunit ribosomal RNA", at positions 355 to 896 of the family's 1533-position model. The record is from RNAcentral.